Molecule: long non-coding RNA, 1380 nt
Filed under: Rattus norvegicus (Norway rat)
Lineage: Eukaryota; Metazoa; Chordata; Mammalia; Rodentia; Muridae
Description: long non-coding RNA NONRATT003283
Source: RNAcentral
AUUGCCCGGGAUGUUGACGGGUCAGGUAACUACUUAAUGCUUACACAUAAGCAGGUUGCUCAGCUGCACCCCUUAUCCAGCUACGCCAUCACCAAGAAGAUGCCCGAGUGGGUCCUCUUCCAUCAGUUCAGCAUAUCUGAGAACAACUACAUCAGGGUCACCUCAGCAGUCUCCCCUGAGCUGUAAGUCUAAUGGAGAAGGAAGGGCUUCCUUUUUAACUCACUCCUGUAGAAGUAAAUCACACACAGGAUUGUUUCACUCUCACUGAUAUGAGACUGCUAGAGCGAAGGCACCAGGACACUGGCUGUGUAGAGCAAUGGCCUUAGCCAGCCUUAAGGAAUGGCUGGAGCUGGGAGUGGGGGAUGGGGUGAUGCAGAGGAGGAGGGAAGGUGAGGGUAAAGAGACAGGUAGUUCCAGAAGGUAUACCUCCUUUUACCCUAGUGUAGUGCAGAGCAAUUGAAGCUUUAGGCAAGAGGAAGGCUCUCUCCAAUAAAGAUCUCUGUGUAGCUGCUAAGUAGGAAGGACAGGAAGGGCAACACUGGGGAUGGAGACUCUCAGAGCUGACUCCAGACUCAGUCUAAAGGCACCGCACGUUCAAGGUUGCAGCUUACCUUACACGGGUGGAUUCAGAGUAAAGCUUGUUGAAGUUAGGUGGCAAAGACUCCCCUUGUUGCCUACCCAAAGCUCUUUCCAAGUAUCUCCUCUGAUCCCUCUCAUGAGGGUGCAUAGCACACUUCCACUGUGUGGCCUUGUACUAGAGGAGUAACAUUUGGAGUGCAUUGAGUCUGACCGCACUAAUACCAGAGCCUGUAUUAUCUACACAAAAACCAGAUCUGCAUAUUCCCUGGGGCUGGGGUGGACCUGCACAUCUGCCUGCCAUUCCCCAGUGUUCAUAGUAUUGUUUGUUUUAAAUACACAGAUUUAUGCAGCUGGUACCACAAUACUAUUUCAGUAACCUGCCUCCUAGUGAAAGCAAGGACAUCCUACAACAAGCCUCAGGCCACCUACCCACCACAGCUAUGGACAAGGACCAGGAUGUGUGUGACAAGUGCCCAGAUGCUACUGAGCAGAGAUGCACAGUCCAGUGACCUCUCCAACACAGAGUGCAAUACAGACACCAAGGGGAGGCUGGUGGUGGGCUGCUGGAGCCAGGGCAGUCCUGGACAUGAACACUUCAAGUAUGAUUUUAAAAUAAAAAAAUAGUUUUUAUUAAGUUCUUAAAAUUACUAUUCCACGCUUUUCUUAUUGGAAAUUUUUAACCAAUCAUAAUUUGACCAAAAUAAAGAAAAAACCAUUUUGUAAAUGUGUCACAGACACGUGGAACAGAGCCCUACUUUUUGUAGAGGACUUGAAUCUGAAUAAAAUAAUGAGUUUUUCAGU